GAUGAACGCUAGCGGCAGGCCUAACACAUGCAAGUCGAGGGGUAGAAGGAGCUUGCUCCUUUGAGACCGGCGCACGGGUGCGUAACGCGUAUGCAAUCUACCUUGUACAGGGGAAUAGCCCAGAGAAAUUUGGAUUAAUGCCCCAUAGUAUAUAACCUUCGCAUGUUGGUUAUAUUAAAGUUCCAACGGUACAAGAUGAGCAUGCGUCCCAUUAGUUAGUUGGUAAGGUAACGGCUUACCAAGACGAUGAUGGGUAGGGGUCCUGAGAGGGAGAUCCCCCACACUGGUACUGCGGCACGGACCAGACUCCUACGGGAGGCAGCAGUGAGGUAUAUUGGGCAAUGGUCGCUAGACUGAACCGGCCAUGCCGCGUGCAGGAAGACGGUCCUAUGGAUUGUAAACUGCUUUUAUACAGGAAGAAACCCUCCCACGUGUGGGAGCUUGACGGUACUGUAGGAAUAAGGAUCGGCUAACUCCGUG
RNAcentral lists this ribosomal RNA (480 nucleotides) under uncultured bacterium. Its description in RNAcentral is "partial 16S ribosomal RNA". It matches the Rfam family "Bacterial small subunit ribosomal RNA", at positions 28 to 507 of the family's 1533-position model. The record is from RNAcentral.